AAUAUUGGACCAUGGGGGCAACCCUGAUCCAGCCAUGCCGCGUGAGCGAUGAAGGCCUUCGGGUUGUAACGCACUUUUGGUGGGGAAGAAAAGGCGCUGGUUAAUACCUGGCGCCGCUGACGGUACCUGCAUAAUAAGCACCGCCUGCCUACGUGCCCGGAGCCGCGGUAAUACGUAGGGUGCAAGCGUUAAUCGGAAUUACUGGGCGUAAAGCGUGCGCAGGCGGUGCGGAAAGAAGGAUGUGAAAUCCCGGGGCUUAACCUCGGAACUGCAUUCUUAACUGCCGGGCUAGAGUAUGUCAGAGGGGGGUAGAAUUCCACGUGUAGCAGUGAAAUGCGUAGAGAUGUGGAGGAAUACCGAUGGCGAAGGCAGCCCCCUGGGAUAAUACUGACGCUCAUGCACGAAAGCGUGGGGAGCAAACAG
RNAcentral lists this ribosomal RNA (423 nucleotides) under uncultured bacterium. RNAcentral's name for it is "partial 16S ribosomal RNA". It matches the Rfam family "Bacterial small subunit ribosomal RNA", at positions 360 to 775 of the family's 1533-position model. The record is from RNAcentral.